This 2051-nucleotide ribosomal RNA is filed under the name Staphylococcus aureus VET0889S. RNAcentral's name for it is "bacterial LSU rRNA". It matches the Rfam family "Bacterial large subunit ribosomal RNA", at positions 871 to 2925 of the family's 2925-position model. Lineage: Bacteria; Bacillati; Bacillota; Bacilli; Caryophanales; Staphylococcaceae. The record is from RNAcentral.
UAGGGCUAGCCUCAAGUGAUGAUUAUUGGAGGUAGAGCACUGUUUGGACGAGGGGCCCCUCUCGGGUUACCGAAUUCAGACAAACUCCGAAUGCCAAUUAAUUUAACUUGGGAGUCAGAACAUGGGUGAUAAGGUCCGUGUUCGAAAGGGAAACAGCCCAGACCACCAGCUAAGGUCCCAAAAUAUAUGUUAAGUGGAAAAGGAUGUGGCGUUGCCCAGACAACUAGGAUGUUGGCUUAGAAGCAGCCAUCAUUUAAAGAGUGCGUAAUAGCUCACUAGUCGAGUGACACUGCGCCGAAAAUGUACCGGGGCUAAACAUAUUACCGAAGCUGUGGAUUGUCCUUUGGACAAUGGUAGGAGAGCGUUCUAAGGGCGUUGAAGCAUGAUCGUAAGGACAUGUGGAGCGCUUAGAAGUGAGAAUGCCGGUGUGAGUAGCGAAAGACGGGUGAGAAUCCCGUCCACCGAUUGACUAAGGUUUCCAGAGGAAGGCUCGUCCGCUCUGGGUUAGUCGGGUCCUAAGCUGAGGCCGACAGGCGUAGGCGAUGGAUAACAGGUUGAUAUUCCUGUACCACCUAUAAUCGUUUUAAUCGAUGGGGGGACGCAGUAGGAUAGGCGAAGCGUGCGAUUGGAUUGCACGUCUAAGCAGUAAGGCUGAGUAUUAGGCAAAUCCGGUACUCAUUAAGGCUGAGCUGUGAUGGGGAGAAGACAUUGUGUCUUCGAGUCGUUGAUUUCACACUGCCGAGAAAAGCCUCUAGAUAGAAAAUAGGUGCCCGUACCGCAAACCGACACAGGUAGUCAAGAUGAGAAUUCUAAGGUGAGCGAGCGAACUCUCGUUAAGGAACUCGGCAAAAUGACCCCGUAACUUCGGGAGAAGGGGUGCUCUUUAGGGUUAACGCCCAGAAGAGCCGCAGUGAAUAGGCCCAAGCGACUGUUUAUCAAAAACACAGGUCUCUGCUAAACCGUAAGGUGAUGUAUAGGGGCUGACGCCUGCCCGGUGCUGGAAGGUUAAGAGGAGUGGUUAGCUUCUGCGAAGCUACGAAUCGAAGCCCCAGUAAACGGCGGCCGUAACUAUAACGGUCCUAAGGUAGCGAAAUUCCUUGUCGGGUAAGUUCCGACCCGCACGAAAGGCGUAACGAUUUGGGCACUGUCUCAACGAGAGACUCGGUGAAAUCAUAGUACCUGUGAAGAUGCAGGUUACCCGCGACAGGACGGAAAGACCCCGUGGAGCUUUACUGUAGCCUGAUAUUGAAAUUCGGCACAGCUUGUACAGGAUAGGUAGGAGCCUUUGAAACGUGAGCGCUAGCUUACGUGGAGGCGCUGGUGGGAUACUACCCUAGCUGUGUUGGCUUUCUAACCCGCACCACUUAUCGUGGUGGGAGACAGUGUCAGGCGGGCAGUUUGACUGGGGCGGUCGCCUCCUAAAAGGUAACGGAGGCGCUCAAAGGUUCCCUCAGAAUGGUUGGAAAUCAUUCAUAGAGUGUAAAGGCAUAAGGGAGCUUGACUGCGAGACCUACAAGUCGAGCAGGGUCGAAAGACGGACUUAGUGAUCCGGUGGUUCCGCAUGGAAGGGCCAUCGCUCAACGGAUAAAAGCUACCCCGGGGAUAACAGGCUUAUCUCCCCCAAGAGUUCACAUCGACGGGGAGGUUUGGCACCUCGAUGUCGGCUCAUCGCAUCCUGGGGCUGUAGUCGGUCCCAAGGGUUGGGCUGUUCGCCCAUUAAAGCGGUACGCGAGCUGGGUUCAGAACGUCGUGAGACAGUUCGGUCCCUAUCCGUCGUGGGCGUAGGAAAUUUGAGAGGAGCUGUCCUUAGUACGAGAGGACCGGGAUGGACAUACCUCUGGUGUACCAGUUGUCGUGCCAACGGCAUAGCUGGGUAGCUAUGUGUGGACGGGAUAAGUGCUGAAAGCAUCUAAGCAUGAAGCCCCCCUCAAGAUGAGAUUUCCCAACUUCGGUUAUAAGAUCCCUCAAAGAUGAUGAGGUUAAUAGGUUCGAGGUGGAAGCAUGGUGACAUGUGGAGCUGACGAAUACUAAUCGAUCGAAGACUUAAUCAA